This 156-nucleotide ribosomal RNA is filed under the name uncultured bacterium. RNAcentral describes it as "partial 16S ribosomal RNA". It matches the Rfam family "Bacterial small subunit ribosomal RNA", at positions 338 to 508 of the family's 1533-position model. The record is from RNAcentral.
CCUACGGGAGGCAGCAGUAGGGAAUAUUGCACAAUGGAGGAAACUCUGAUGCAGCCAUGCCGCGUGUGUGGAGAAGGCCUUCGGGUUGUAAAGCACUUUCGGAGGGGAGGAAGAAAAUGACGUUACCCUCAGAAGAAGCACCGGCUAACUCCGUGC